Molecule: long non-coding RNA, 1615 nt
Organism: Callithrix jacchus (white-tufted-ear marmoset)
Lineage: Eukaryota; Metazoa; Chordata; Mammalia; Primates; Cebidae
Source: Ensembl
AUGAGGGACUGGGGCGCAGAAGACGCAGAUCCCGGGGUCGAGGGAGGCAAGGCAGUCAGCGGGGCCCAUUACGUGGAAGGAGCCAGUGGGACCGUGGGAGUCUGCUGGUCUCCUGUUGCACAAAGGCGCUCCAGAGUGAAAACACGCAGUGCUUCUGAACCAACAGGUCGGAUCACCUCCCAAGAGGUGCUCCACCAAGAUACCCCUGAAGGAACUUGGGAGCAGAGAACUAUUGGACAAAGAUCUUCUGGACCUAAAUUCCUUCAGAGUCUCAGAGGAAGUGAGUAUACAAAGAUACCAUAAUUACUGGAAGCAGUCUGUUUGUGAGAUUGCAGUAAAAGUGAAUGUAUCAUCUAUUGCUGCAUAACAAGCCACCCAAGACAAUGGUUUAAAAAGCUACCAGUGAUUUGCCUACAAUUUAGUGAGAUGAAAAAUUGGAAUGGGCUCAGCUAUGUGGGCUCAAAGGCUAAGCUCUGUUCCAUGUGGUAUCAGCAGGUCUUGCUCACAUAUCUGGGGCUCUGAAGGGAUGGCUUGUACACCUAGGACCUUUUCCCAGGAAGCUAGUCCGGCUUUUUCACAUGGAGGUAGACAUGUUCCCAGCAGCAAGACAGAUGGCAACCUAGUGUUCAUCCUCUAGUGUUUGCACCCUUUCAAGUUUCGAGCUUCUGUAUGUGUCAUGUUUGCUAAUGUCCCAUUGGCUAAAGCAAGUCAUGUAAGUCCAGAGUCAAUGUGGGAGGAUGUUAUGGGCAUGGGUAGAGGGAGAUGUCAAUUAUUAGGGAUCAUUAAGUGGUAGCUUUUUGUUUUGAGAGCAGGAAUGCCACUUUGCAACCUCUACUUCAGGAACUUUCUCUAAAGACUUUCAUCAGAAAAAAAAUCCAUUCAAUAGUGAUCAGUGAUAAAGAAGAAACUGGAAUAAUACAGAUACAGGCAUACUAUUUUUAAAAUUCAGAUAAUAAGCAUCAAAACUUUCUAAUAGGUGAAGGGAAAAUGUGAUGUCACAGAGACAAUUAAAAUUGUGACUGUAAAUUAUGCAAUGAAAGAAAAAAAUUAAUAGUACUUUUGCAUAGUAUUUACUGUUGUCAGGCAAUAUUCUAACUACUUUGCAAAGGCAUGAACUCAAUUGAUUCUCAGCACAACUCUGUAAGUUAGAUAUUGUGCUUAUUAUCAUCAUUAUACAGAUUUAAAAACCAAAGGCACAAGUUAAGUAACACUCAAGAUCACACAGUUAGUUAGAGGAGGAUCCAGUAUUUAAACCCAGUUAAUCUUGUUCUAGUGUCUUUGCUCUUAUUCAUAAGCAGCAUACUUCUCUAAAUGAAGUAUAUUUGUUGCUAUGUUAAGAAAUAAACAUCAUCUAUUAAGGAACACCAAAAAACACAAAUGAAGAAACUCAAGAGAGAGAUGAGGAGGACGAAAUUAGCUUAUAUUUUUAUAGAAAGAAGAAGAAAACCAAACCAUGAUAGAAAUGAAGAACAUAUUGGAAGAAACACAAAGGAGGAAUAAGUAUUGUGGAUAAGUAAGAGAUAGCAAAUGAAAUUAUCUGUGUGAAACUGAUAAUGAUAGAUGAAAUACAACACACAUAUAAUUGGAGUCUCUAAAGAAGAAAACCUUAUUAGUG